UAGCAUAUCAAUAAGCGGAGGAAAAGAAACCCAACCGGGAUUGCCUUAGUAACGGCGAGUGAAGCGGCAAAAGCUCAAAUUUGAAAUCUGGUACCUUCGGUGCCCGAGUUGUAAUUUGGAGAGGGCAACUUUGGGGCCGUUCCUUGUCUAUGUUCCUUGGAACAGGACGUCAUAGAGGGUGAGAAUCCCGUGUGGCGAGGAGUGCGGUUCUUUGUAAAGUGCCUUCGAAGAGUCGAGUUGUUUGGGAAUGCAGCUCUAAGUGGGUGGUAAAUUCCAUCUAAAGCUAAAUAUUGGCGAGAGACCGAUAGCGAACAAGUACAGUGAUGGAAAGAUGAAAAGAACUUUGAAAAGAGAGUGAAAAAGUACGUGAAAUUGUUGAAAGGGAAGGGCAUUUGAUCAGACAUGGUGUUUUGUGCCCUCUGCUCCUUGUGGGUAGGGGAAUCUCGCAUUUCACUGGGCCAGCAUCAGUUUUGGUGGCAGGAUAAAUCCAUAGGAAUGUAGCUUGCCUCGGUAAGUAUUAUAGCCUGUGGGAAUACUGCCAGCUGGGACUGAGGACUGCGACGUAAGUCAAGGAUGCUGGCAUAAUGGUUAUAUGCCGCCCGUCUUGAAACACGGACCAAGGAGUCUAACGUCUAUGCGAGUGUUUGGGUGUAAAACCCAUACGCGUAAUGAAAGUGAACGUAGGUUGGGGCCUCGCAAGAGGUGCACAAUCGACCGAUCCUGAUGUCUUCGGAUGGAUUUGAGUAAGAGCAUAGCUGUUGGGACCCGAAAGAUGGUGAACUAUGCCUGAAUAGGGUGAAGCCAGAGGAAACUCUGGUGGAGGCUCGUAGCGGUUCUGACGUGCAAAUCGAUCGUCGAAUUUGGGUAUAGGGGCGAAAGACUAAUCGAACCAUCUAGUAGCUGGUUCUGCGA
RNAcentral lists this ribosomal RNA (912 nucleotides) under Saccharomyces cf. cerevisiae/paradoxus. RNAcentral's name for it is "LSU rRNA". It matches the Rfam family "Eukaryotic large subunit ribosomal RNA", at positions 36 to 964 of the family's 3401-position model. The record is from RNAcentral. Lineage: Eukaryota; Fungi; Ascomycota; Saccharomycetes; Saccharomycetales; Saccharomycetaceae.